Molecule: ribosomal RNA, 492 nt
Filed under: uncultured bacterium
Lineage: Bacteria
Description: partial 16S ribosomal RNA
Rfam family: Bacterial small subunit ribosomal RNA
Source: RNAcentral
AGUGAACGCUGGCGGUAGGCCUAACACAUGCAAGUCGAACGGCAGCACAGUAAGAGCUUGCUCUUACGGGUGGCGAGUGGCGGACGGGUGAGGAAUACAUCGGAAUCUACUUUUUCGGGGGGGAUAACGUAGGGAAACUUACGCUAAUACCGCAUACGACCUACGGGUGAAAGCAGGGGAUCUUCGGACCUUGCGCGAUUGAAUUAGCCGAUGUCGGAUUAGCUAGUUGGCGGGGUAAAGGCCCACCAAGGCGACGAUCCGUAGCUGGUCUGAGAGGAUGAUCAGCCACACUGGAACGGAGACACGGUCCAGACUCCUACGGGAGGCAGCAGUGGGGAAUAUUGGACAAUGGGCGCAAGCCUGAUCCAGCCAUACCGCGUGGGUGAAGAAGGCCUUCGGGUUGUAAAGCCCUUUUGUUGGGAAAGAAAAGCAGCAGGUUAAUACCCCGCUGUUCUGACGGUACCCAAAGAAUAAGCACCGGCUAACUUCGUG